GGCGCUAUGGUGUAGUGGCAGCACAUGGGAUUUUGAUGAGUCGUCAACUCGUUUAUUCUUCCCAUAACCCAGGUUCGAACCCUGGUAGUGCCU
Armillaria fumosa is the source of this 93-nucleotide non-coding RNA. The record is from the annotation of a GenBank genome assembly. Lineage: Eukaryota; Fungi; Basidiomycota; Agaricomycetes; Agaricales; Physalacriaceae.